CCUACGGGAGGCAGCAGUAGGGAAUCUUCCACAAUGGGCGAAAGCCUGAUGGAGCAACGCCGCGUGGGUGAAGAAGGUCUUCGGAUCGUAAAACCCUGUUGUUAGAGAAGUAAGUGCGUGAGAGUAACUGUUCACGUUUCGACGGUAUCUAACCAGACAGCCACGGCUAACUACGUGCCAGCAGCCGCGGUAAUACGUAGGUGGCAAGCGUUAUCCGGAUUUAUUGGGCGUAAAGGGAACGCAGGCGGUCUUUUAAGUCUGAUGUGAAAGCCUUCGGCUUAACCGGGGUAGUGCAUUGGAAACUGGGGGACUUGAGUGCAGAAGAGGAGAGUGGAACUCCAUGUGUAGCGGUGAAAUGCGUAGAUAUAUGGAAGAACACCAGUGGCGAAAGCGGCUUUCUGGUCUGUAACUGACGCUGAGGUUCGAAAGCGUGGGUAGCAAACAGGAUUAGAUACCCGUGUAGUC
RNAcentral lists this ribosomal RNA (465 nucleotides) under uncultured bacterium. RNAcentral's name for it is "partial 16S ribosomal RNA". It matches the Rfam family "Bacterial small subunit ribosomal RNA", at positions 338 to 795 of the family's 1533-position model. The record is from RNAcentral.